CCUACGGGUGGCUGCAGUGGGGAAUAUUGGACAAUGGGGGCAACCCUGAUCCAGCCAUGCCGCGUGUGUGAAGAAGGCCCUCGGGUUGUAAAGCACUUUCAGUGAGGAAGAACGCCUGGUGGUUAAUACCCAUCAGGAAAGACAUCACUCACAGAAGAAGCACCGGCUAACUCCGUGCCAGCAGCCGCGGUAAUACGGAGGGUGCGAGCGUUAAUCGGAAUUACUGGGCGUAAAGCGCGCGUAGGUGGCUUGAUAAGCCGGUUGUGAAAGCCCCGGGCUCAACCUGGGAACGGCAUCCGGAACUGUCAAGCUAGAGUGCAGGAGAGGAAGGUAGAAUUCCCGGUGUAGCGGUGAAAUGCGUAGAGAUCGGGAGGAAUACCAGUGGCGAAGGCGGCCUUCUGGACUGACACUGACACUGAGGUGCGAAAGCGUGGGUAGCAAACAGGAUUAGAUACCCGAGUAGUC
Molecule: ribosomal RNA, 465 nt
Filed under: Vreelandella stevensii
Lineage: Bacteria; Pseudomonadati; Pseudomonadota; Gammaproteobacteria; Oceanospirillales; Halomonadaceae
Description: partial 16S ribosomal RNA
Rfam family: Bacterial small subunit ribosomal RNA
Source: RNAcentral